Molecule: long non-coding RNA, 338 nt
Filed under: Trifolium pratense (red clover)
Lineage: Eukaryota; Viridiplantae; Streptophyta; Magnoliopsida; Fabales; Fabaceae
Description: long non-coding RNA (TPRA_LNC011958)
Source: RNAcentral
GUUAAGAGUAGAAGAAGUAACAUAAUUCAUAACAGAAUUGUGAGAAAAAUAUUAUUGAAGUGAAGAAAUUGUUAUUACACUUGAAUAGAAAGAGAUAACAAGUGAACUAUUUAAACUACAUAGGUGCUGUAUGUUAACUACUGUGUGUACUAGCACACUUAAUCACACUUAUGCAGUGAGUUAAAAACUAAUAGACUAAAUAAUAGUUUCCUUGUUUUUAUCUUCAUUUUCUUCAAUUCUCAACAGCCUUCCACAAGCUGGAGCUUGGUAAAUAUCUAUGAAGCCAAGCUUGGACACAAGAUUAUUGAACUUUGAAGUUGAUAAAGCUUUAGUAAGAA